Paralichthys olivaceus (Japanese flounder) is the source of this 1977-nucleotide non-coding RNA. The record is from RefSeq and is a predicted model, not a curated record. NCBI's taxonomy places the organism in Eukaryota, Metazoa, Chordata, Actinopteri, Pleuronectiformes, Paralichthyidae.
CGUGUGAAUGCACCGCUACGCAGGCCACUCAGCUCGGAGGUGGAGUCCAGGUGUGAGUGUUUCUGCUCUCCGCCAUAGCAAUGAGGGCAGCUAGCUGCUGAGAGGGAAAAAAGAGAAAACUCUGGAAUUAAACCGUGAAAAGAGAAAGAGAGAGCCAGGACACUUACCUCCUGGAAGUCCGGGGCCGAGUGACUACACAAAGGAGACAAGUGACGUCGGCUAACCUUCCACCUGGAAGAGCCGCUGCAGGCUUCUACAUCGGUGUCCUCGGCUUUGGACCACAGAGCAACGGUCAGGUUUUUGAGAGGACGGGGAAAAUCCAGACCAGGACAAGAUUGUGGUCGUGACAGAUGGAGAGCCAGGAACGUUGAGGAAGAAUCACAGCGAAGGAGGAAAGAGAAAACGGAGUUGGAAAAAGACUACAGGAUUCAUUUCCAGGACUCAUAACUGUGCACUGUGUGGCACAUCGCUUGAAUCUUGUUGUGUCUGACUGCAUGAAGGUGGGAGCACCAUAUAUGCCAGAACUGUCUGAACUAUCUUCUGGUUUUACCAGGCCUCCCCCAACAGGACUAACAGCCUCAAAGAAAUGGAGAGGCUUUUUGAACUGCCCCAAAUCAAACUACAGGAAGGGAACGCUACCAGGUGGGAGUCAAAUAAGGAAGCAACAGAUGUGAUACGGAGGAUUCUGCCUACUCUUGUUGCGGACCUCUCUCUCCAAGCCCGGACUGAACCAACAGCUCGGGGACUGUAUUCCUUUGUAAAGCACGAGUUCUUUCCCCCUGCACUGUGCCUAAACAGGGUUUUUCCUGCAUAGAGAAUUUGGUGGCGGCCGCCACCGCCAAAUUCCUUACCGCCACUAGCUCACGGCUGGUUUUCAAUAGGUAAUUUCACCAAGCGUUUCCCUGUCGGGAUCUGUCAUUUCAUUCAUAUGUAACUGCAAUUGCACGCAACCACCAGUAGUGGUGGUGGCGGCAGCGUUGUGUCGAAAUUAGCACCGGCCGACAUGUCAAACAAAGCAUCUUUUACUGCCACAUCCAGAGAGACGAAGAAGAGGAAGUUUUCACUGCAACAAACACGGAUGAUGUCAGAUCAACAAAAAAGGGUUACUAUUGUUUCUUCUGCACCCAAACAUGUCCAGUUCCUUUGAAAAAGUUAAUGUUUCAUGCUACAUAAAUUCAUAUUACCAGUGUUAGUUAACAAUAUCAGUUUUGCAGGUAUGGCGAAAUGUAAGAUCAGCAAAUUUUUUACAAAACAAGUGUGAGAAGAGGAGAGACAAGACAGGUGAAGGAGUGUAGACACUGAAGACAGGGAGCUAAAAUGCAAUAAUUUGUGUUAUUGAUGAGAUGUGGUAAAUUUGUCAGAUACGUAAGCAAUACAGCUCAGCCUCAGCCAGAAGCCGAAGACGAGGGUGAUGAAGAGAGUGAAGCCCCACUGCAGGACAGCGAGUCAAGCCGAGGGUAUUCAGGCAGUCAUUGCGGUGUCAAUAUAAGUUGAAAAUAUAAAUGACGUUAUAAUGAUUUUACAGUAACUCUUUAUUCUUUCCAGGUUUAAAAAACACAGAGCCAGUGGUUUUGACUCGCAAUGGCUCAACACAUUUACCUGGCUUAGAAUGGCAUGACAUAUUAUGUCACUGGAGGAGGUGCUUCUAUGGCUUGUUUCCCCUGAACCCUCUCUACUGUAUCCUGCUCUCAGCAUUGCAGCUGCAAUAGCCCUGACAGCACCUGUCCCGGCAGCAGAUGUUAAGAGGCUAUUUUCUGCACUCAAGAUUAUAAAAACACCCCUGUGCAACAGACUUAAGGAGAGGCACCUGGAUGUAUGCUGUAAGGUGGCCAUUGAUGGUCCAAACCAGGAGGUCUUUGAGUACAAAGACUCUACAGGAUGAAACCAAGGAGGGUCACAUGUUCUGCCACUGGCUGUGCUUUGUGCUGCCAGGUAAAUGAACUGAAAGCUAAACAAAGCACAUAAAAAAUAAAUGAA